Pyrus x bretschneideri (Chinese white pear) is the source of this 4781-nucleotide RNA transcript. It is a transcript of the gene named serine/threonine-protein kinase TIO-like, with no coding region annotated. NCBI's taxonomy places the organism in Eukaryota, Viridiplantae, Streptophyta, Magnoliopsida, Rosales, Rosaceae. The transcript is spliced from 24 exons. The record is from RefSeq and is a predicted model, not a curated record.
AGAAUCCUUUAGGAUGAUUAGGGUAUUUGUUUUAUUUUGAUUUCAGGAUCUACGAGUAGAAGUUAUUAUUAUUUCAUUUAAGCUGAAAAAGGGUCCAGUUUAAUUGGGUGUUAAUUGAAUUUCAAAACACAAUUUGGUUAUGUUUGUAAAUAUUUAUGUCAAUUUAGGUUUGGUUGAGUUUGUAUUUGGGAAUUGCAUCAAUUUUUGACUAAACCAGCUCCAAGGGGCCUCCGGAGUUAACUGGACUGAAAAAGAGUAGAGAUAUAAAGCGGUGGGUUCAAAAGAUGGGUGUCGAGAACUACCACGUGAUUGAGCUUGUAGGCGAAGGUUCCUUUGGGAAGGUAUUCAAGGGAAGGCGAAAGCACACGGGUCAGACUGUUGCGAUGAAAUUCAUUAUGAAGCAUGGCAAAAGCGACAAAGAUAUCCACAAUUUAAGACAAGAAAUUGAGAUCCUAAGAAAGUUGAAGCACGAAAACAUCAUUGAAAUGCUUGAUUCAUUUGAAAGCCCACAAGAGUUCUGUGUUGUCACAGAAUUUGCACAAGGUGAACUAUUUGAAAUUCUUGAGGAUGAUAAGUGCCUUCCUGAAGAACAAGUUCAAGCUAUUGCAAAGCAGCUGGUGAGAGCAUUACAUUAUCUGCAUUCCAACCGUAUCAUCCAUCGUGACAUGAAACCACAAAACAUUCUCAUUGGUGCUGGUUCUAUUGUUAAGCUCUGUGAUUUUGGUUUUGCACGUGCAAUGUCCACAAACACUGUUGUUUUGCGAUCCAUUAAAGGUACUCCUCUGUACAUGGCGCCUGAACUAGUACGGGAACAACCCUACAACCACACUGCAGAUCUGUGGUCUCUAGGAGUAAUAUUAUAUGAAUUAUUUGCAGGCCAGCCUCCAUUUUAUACAAACUCUGUAUAUGCACUCAUCAGGCACAUUGUUAAGGAUCCAGUUAAAUAUCCUGACAACAUAAGUCCAAGUUUUAAAAACUUUCUUAAGGGAUUGCUUGAUAAGGUGCCUCAAAAUCGAUUGACUUGGCCAGCUCUUCUGGAACACCCAUUUGUCAAAGAGACACCUCCCGAACUGGAGUCUAGGGAAAUGCGUUCUGCAACUACUGCAGAAAGGGGAUGUGUUGUGGCAUGGAGGGGUGAAGGAAACAAAGUUCAAACAUCAGAUGGUCUGGCUGUUUCAUCUCCUGUCCACUCUCCAGCUUCUUCAGAGAACAACAGUGGGAUAUGUUUUCAGAAUGAUGCUCAAGCAAAUACUCCUGAAUCCACAACAGUCAAUUCUUCCCCAAAUGAGUUCCCAGGAUUCACAAAUCCUAGUGAAGUCAAACAGUCAGGUUGCCAAAUUUUGGACAGAUUGGAAAAUAACUCUCGUACAGUUAAGGGUGCACAAAUAAUAAGUCAGGAUAAUGAAGCAUUAGCACAUGUUUUGUUACCACUAAAAAGAUGCUCCAAUGGACCCCCAGAUUCUUGCAGGGAUGAAGAUAUUCUUAAUUCAAACCAGUCUUUGAGAAUUCUUUCAAACUUAGUUGCAGCUGGUGCCUUCCAUUCCAGCGAGCUGCUUGAUGAAAUAAUACAUGAACUUCUUGCUUACUCUGCCAUCAUUGUGAGCAUGAAAUCUUCUGAAGUAAAUGAGUUAAAAGCGAAGAGUUUCUCAAUAAUUAAAAUUUUGGUUGACAAUGCUGGAAGCAGCAUUGGUGGCUCAUAUUUCAGGCACUGGGUUGUCUUAUCAGAUAUUUUUUCACAGGUUGUUGGUUGUAGUGAAGAUGCAUCUGGAAGAGUUUUGUAUGAGUCCAUUGCUUGCAUUGCUGUCAUGCUAAGAAGAGUCACACAGGGCCUUAAAGCUUUUUCCUCAACUUCAGUUCCUGAGGCAGCUUCUGAUCCUAAUGAAGCACUGAAACAGAUUCUGAAUCACACUAAAACAUCUGGUUUAGUGGACCAACUUUGUCUCUGCUUAGUAACUGCAGGGUCAAGUCUUAUUUCAGGCUCUUCAAAUAUGCUGUGUGCGGCUUGUGAGGCAUGUACGGCAAUUUGGUUUCUGAUAGAUGCAUCAGAAAAUCUUUCUAUGAAAAGAAAUGCCUAUUUAUUCCCCCUAAACACUUUGCGCCGGCCUUCACCCCAACUUGACAUUAGGGAUCAAGAUCAAGAUUCUUUGAUUGGGACAGAAGCAGCAAAACUUGUUGCUGUAAUUACGAGAGCAUUCCUUAGAUCAAAAGCAGUACAAGUUGCUAUUCAUUAUUGCCUUCAUCAACAACUUGAAGCUUCGCUAUAUGCUGGCGUUCAGUUACUGUUGAGGUGCUGCUUAGAUAAUGGAAUUGUUCCGGGUGUUCUCUGUGGCCUGCCUAGUUCCCUACCUGUAACUACGGUUGUUAGUGGUGGAGGUGAUGGAACCAUUAUUUCAGAGAUAUUCUCUUUGUUGUCUUUGUGCAUUUCAUCUCAAAAUAAAGAUCCCCAAGCAAUUGAAACAGCCACCUUCAAGAACAAAUUAACCAAUCCCACUACCUUGGUUCUGCAUUCAUGCCUCAUCCUUGCAACAGUUGCACAAUGUUUGAAGGCAACUGGAAGAAAUUCUGCACUAUUUAUGCUAACAACAUCUCCAAAGAAGCAGCUUUCUCGACUUUCUGUUCUUGCUCAUCAUUUUUCUUCUGAUGAGAGCAAAAGUGCCUCCAUUCAAGCUCAUGCUGCAUCGGCCAUGCUAGCACUGGCUUCCAUUUUGUCCCUUGAAUCUGGCAGUUCUGUUGAGUCUUCUAUCCUCGAGGUAGCAGUGCCUUUGAUUCCUAGAAAUGCCACACUAUGUGAAUACCUGAAGCUUUCAUCAGGCAAUGGAAUUGAAUUGCAUUCGAAUGGCCCUAGUGGUACUCUCUCAUAUUGGCAUGGUCUAAGGGAUGGAUGUGUUGGCUUGCUGGAGUCUAGACUGAGGUGGGGAGGACCCUUAGCUGUUAAACAGCUGUGUGCAAGCAAUAUCCCUCUGCUUCUAGUGGAUUUGUUAGCCAACAACCAACCAGAAGUUGGUAGCACCAAUGAUCAAGUUGGGCUUACCCCUAUAGGAGUCAUAUGGACAAUAUCAUCAAUAUGUCACUGCCUUUCAGGUGGCGCCUUAACUUUUCAUCAGAUUCUGCUUAGACGUAAUCAUAUCAAGCCCAUCUCUGACUUGAUAGCUGAUAUGCAUCUCAAGCUUGUAAAGUCUUGGGUUGGGCCUGGUGGAGGGAAAGAUGGUGUAAGAGAUAUAACAAAUGCAGUAAUUGAUGUCUUGGCCUUUCCUUUUGUGGCCGUACAGAAUGCUCCAGAAUUGCCAUCAGCCACUGCUUCAGUUAAUAGCGGGGCCCUUCUCAACCUGGGUUCACCAGGGCUGAGAGUUGGCAUGGAAGACAAAGACAUGGUGAAAGUAAUUGAAGAAGACCUUGGGAAGUAUAUUAAAAACCUUUUUGAGGUAGGAGUGCCAGGCAUCGUUGUUUGGUGUUUAGGACACUUGGAUUUAAAGGACAUGGGAAGACCGGUGGCCUUUCUUGCAAAAAUGGUUGGUUACCAACCAUUGGCAUUUCAAAUUGUGGGUAAAGGCUUGCUGGAUCCUAAAAGGAUGAGAAGAUUGCUGGACCAUUCUAGUCCAAGAGAGGUGAUGCUGGAUGUUCUGAUGAUUGUUUCUGAUUUGGCUCGCAUGGACAAGGGAUUCUACAAGUACAUUAAUGGAGCAUCUGUAUUGGAGUUCUUCAAGGAAUUUCUCACCCAUGAAGAUCCUAAUGUGCGCUCCAAGGCUUGCAGUGCACUAGGAAAUAUGUGCCGGCACAGCUCCUACUUUUAUAGUUCCCUGGCAAGGAAUCAAAUCAUUGAUCUCCUUAUUGAUCGAUGUACUGAUCCAGAUAAACGGACACGAAAAUUUGCUUGCUUUGCUAUUGGCAAUGCUGCCUACCAUGACAAGAUGUUAUAUGAAGAGCUACGAAGAUCCAUACCCUCUCUUGCGAAUUUGUUGGUUUCGUCUGAAGAAGACAAGACUAAAGCAAAUGCAGCAGGUGCACUAAGCAAUCUUGUCCGCCACUCUGAUCAGCUUUGGGAAGACAUUGUAUCCAAAGGAGCCAUGCAGUCUUUACUGAAGUUGGUGGCUGAUUGUUCGGUGGUAGCACUGAACCCGCCGAGUAGAAAAGAUUCAGUAAACGAGUCACCUCUUAAAAUAGCUCUGAUUGCAUUGGCAAAUAUGUGUUCGCAUCAGCCUUGCAGACAAUUCCUCGGUUCAUCACCGUUGUUCACUGUGAUUGGACAGCUUCGGCAGUCUCCGGAAUCAACAAUUGCCAAUCAUGCCUCCCUGAUAUUCGCCAAAGUUGCUGAUUCCUGAUACAAAAUGAGGCUCAUUACCACUAAUCAGCUGUCGCCUUCACCGGAGAAUUUCGAAAAUGGGGCAUGCAAAUGCAAGAAGGUUUGCAGAUUUUGAGGUAUGCGGUGUGGUUGAUAAGAUAACGUCUCAAAUGCCGCGUCGCGAAUUGAGUGGUCGAGAGAGUAUCGGUGAAAAGGAGAUGGCCAUCGUACAACUUUCGAGUUUGCACUCUUUUUCUUCUUUCUUUUUUAUUUUUAAUACGUUGGACUUCAAAUUUGUGGGAAAGUGGGGGCCAUGUGUGCAAAUGUUGGUGUAUUUUUUUAAGAGAAAUACUUGGACAAGUCUCUUUGAUUUUGAUAGUUUUAGGAUAGAAGACGAUCAAUUAAACUAAAAUGUAAAUAACCUGAUUAUUUUUAGUAUUAUGGUUUAAUGGUAUUUCUUUUUAUUUGUAAAUAAGAGAUCUUAUAUUUGAUUUUCGCUUAA